CCAGUCAAGUCUCAUGUCCCUGAUGUCCAAGUCCCAGUCAAGUCUCAAGUCCCUAAGAUCCAAGCCAAGCCUCCAGUCAGGAAAGUCCAAGUCCCAGUCAAGUCUCAUGUCCCUGAUGUCCAAGUCCCAGUCAAGUCUGAAGUCCCUAAGGUCCAAGUCAAGUCUCACGUCCCUGAGCGCCAAGUCAAGUCUCACGUCCCUGAGCUCCAGGUCAAGCCUCCAGUCCCUGAGCUCCAGGUCAAGCCUCCAGUCCCUGAGCUCCCGUUCAAGGCUGCUGACACGCCCAGCCAAGCUCUGCUCACGCCACAGGCUGCUGACACGCACAGCCAAGCUCUGCUCACGCCACAGGCUGCUGACACGCACAGCCAAGCUC
Ictalurus punctatus (channel catfish) is the source of this 373-nucleotide long non-coding RNA. The record is from Ensembl. Lineage: Eukaryota; Metazoa; Chordata; Actinopteri; Siluriformes; Ictaluridae.